GAUGAAGAACGUAGCAAAAUGCGAUAAGUAAUGUGAAUUGCAGAAUUCAGUGAAUCAUCGAAUCUUUGAACGCACAUUGCGCCCGCUGGUAUUCCGGCGGGCAUGCCUGUUCGAGCGUCAUUUCAACCCUCAAGCCCCCGGGUUUGGUGUUGGGGAUCGGCUCUGCCCUUCUGGGCGGUGCCGCCCCCGAAAUACAUUGGUGGUCUCGCUGCAGCCUCCAUUGCGUAGUAGCUAACACCUCGCAACUGGAACGCGGCGCGGCCAUGCCGUAAAACCCCAACUUCUGAAUGUUGACCUCGGAUCAGGUAGGAAUACCCGCUGAACUUAAGCGUAUCAAUAAGCGGAGGA
RNAcentral lists this unclassified non-coding RNA (348 nucleotides) under soil metagenome. Its description in RNAcentral is "partial contains 5.8S ribosomal RNA, internal transcribed spacer 2, and large subunit ribosomal RNA". The stretch from base 1 to 120 matches the Rfam family "5.8S ribosomal RNA", at positions 35 to 154 of the family's 154-position model. The record is from RNAcentral.